UCCAAAUUCCCGAAGUCAUUAUGAGAUCUGUGUUCGUGAUUGGAUUCUCGGCUGACUCCAAAACCAGGUUCAGAAGACUGCUCACGCUCUGGAGCCACCACCUUAAGGACCUACUGCUUGUACACCUGUGGCUGCUCCCGGGUCUCUCUGGGCAGUGCCGUCCUGCCCCAGGCUCUCCUGAGCCAUGGGACACAAUGAAUGAGCUUGCAGCGGACUCUCUGCAGCGGCUCUGCGUCCCUCGGCAUGCCGCCAGCCAGAAGUGCCAUUCUGGUAUGAGCCUGGGUGACUUCAGUAGCCCUGCCAACACCAUCUGCUCCAGCGCAGAAAGACUACUUAAGAGUCAAAAGCAGCUGCCAGUUCAGGCUUCAACGUACUCUUUCAGUUCCCUCCAAGAUGACCUGAGUUGACCACCCUUCUAGGGAAAAAAAUUAAAUCUCCCACAUGCCUGACAUUUUGGGGUGAGAGUUUAAGGUGCCUCAGAAACUUUGGGGGGAUUUAGUCUGCCAAGAAACCAUCCCAGUGGUAACUGCUGUACAGUGGACAACUUUGGCAAACUGCUUAAUAAGGAAAGCAAGAUCAUGGAGUCCCCAAGGGAUUCAUCUCUUCAUUCAACCAACAAAUAUUGAGCACGUACAAUGUACUGGACAGUGCCCAGAAGACAUGAUCAUGAGAAAAAAGACACAGCCGCUGUUCUCUGGAUGUUUCCAGUCUAAAGGGGGACACCAGACCUUAAUCAAAUAAUCACUCAGGAAAUCAAAUGCAAGCUAUCUUUACUACUAAGAAGAACGAAUAGAGAGCUUAUGAGAACAAUGGCAAAGGAACUUGACCUUGGCAGGGGCACAGGGGAGGUCUCUGAAGAAGUUCCUGAUUGAGAUGAGAUCCAGAAUGUAGAGAAGCAACUGGGGUCUGGGUAAAGGGCUUCUGAAGAAAGAGGGCCAUUUCCGGCAGAAGGAAUGGAAAGGGCACGAGCCCUGCAGCAGGAGCAUGGCAUGCUUGGAGAAAGCACCUGGGUGUGAAUGAACCCAUGCCGGGAACAACAUGUAUGUUCUGCGAUGGCAGCAUAGCAAGAAUGUCUUUUAAAAUGUGGGAU
Molecule: long non-coding RNA, 1090 nt
Organism: Lutra lutra (Eurasian river otter)
Lineage: Eukaryota; Metazoa; Chordata; Mammalia; Carnivora; Mustelidae
Exons: 4
Source: RefSeq, a predicted model, not a curated record